AACGAACGCUGGCGGCAUGCCUAACACAUGCAAGUCGAACGAGAUCUUCGGAUCUAGUGGCGCACGGGUGCGUAACGCGUGGGAAUCUGCCCUUUGCUUCGGAAUAACAGUUAGAAAUGACUGCUAAUACCGGAUGAUGUCUUCGGACCAAAGAUUUAUCGGCAAAGGAUGAGCCCGCGUAGGAUUAGGUAGUUGGUGGGGUAAAGGCCUACCAAGGCGACGAUCCAUAGCUGGUCUGAGAGGAUGAUCAGCCACACUGGGACUGAGACACGGCCCAGACUCCUACGGGAGGCGGCAGUGGGGAAUUUUGGACAAUGGGCGAAAGACCUGACGGAGCAAUACCGCGUGAGGGAAGAAAGCCUACUGGGUUGUAAACCUC
This 379-nucleotide ribosomal RNA is filed under the name uncultured bacterium. RNAcentral's name for it is "bacterial SSU rRNA". It matches the Rfam family "Bacterial small subunit ribosomal RNA", at positions 29 to 433 of the family's 1533-position model. The record is from RNAcentral.